CAUGACCCAUGAUUCCAUUGGACUUGGAGAAGAUGGACCAACCCAUCAACCAAUUGAGCACUUGGCAAGCUUCCGUGCAAUGCCCAACAUUCUGAUGCUCCGCCCGGCUGAUGGAAAUGAAACUGCUGGUGCAUACAAAGUUGCUGUCCUCAACAGUAAGAGACCCUCUAUCCUUGCCCUCUCCAGGCAAAAGCUACCCCAACUUCCCGGAACCUCGAUCGAGGGAGUUGAAAAGGGUGGCUACAUCAUUUCAGAUAACUCCUCUGGUAACAAGCCUGAUGUCAUCCUGAUGGGUACUGGUUCAGAGUUGGAAAUUGCAGCUAAAGCUGCCGAGGAACUUAGAAA
RNAcentral lists this long non-coding RNA (345 nucleotides) under Populus trichocarpa (black cottonwood). RNAcentral's name for it is "long non-coding RNA (PTRI_LNC003267)". The record is from RNAcentral. Lineage: Eukaryota; Viridiplantae; Streptophyta; Magnoliopsida; Malpighiales; Salicaceae.